Molecule: long non-coding RNA, 3075 nt
Organism: Papaver somniferum (opium poppy)
Lineage: Eukaryota; Viridiplantae; Streptophyta; Magnoliopsida; Ranunculales; Papaveraceae
Exons: 4
Source: RefSeq, a predicted model, not a curated record
AUUGAUAGAAAAGCCUGACAAUAAAACAAACACCCUGGAGAAAUAUAAAUGACUGGCCCUGAUACCUUUUGUAAAAACCCAUCCACGGGCGAUCAACACUAUUUUACAGGCACUCUCACCAGCCCUGAAGGCUUCUCCAAAUGUUCCAUCACCAAUAUUUUAUAUACUACCUGGGUCACUGCUUACAAGAUAAUUCAGAUCUUCCGUCAGAAAUCCAUGGAGUGUAUUCGAGCAACCUUUUUCGGGGUAUUCUCCUCUAAAAUCCAUUAUUCCAAAAGAUUCUUGUGAAUCUCAGCUGUAUCACCCGCAUCUUCAAGACUACUAGUAGCAAUGCAGUAUAUCAUCAUUGGGACGACCGAGCGAAGCGAGGGAGGACCUUUAUACGUCCACUUUCUAAGUGAUCAAUUAUUACAAAAAGUUUGAGAAUGGUCCAUGCUGAAAAACCAAAAAUGCCUCUACAUGUUUCCAUUUCUCACUAAAACUAGGGUAAAUAUAACAUAAAAUGAAGGGUAAUCACGUAAAAUUCAUGGGCAGAAAAAAGGCCACGGAGGUUGGAAAUGUGUUAAUUAUUGAGGGACAGUUUAGUAAAAUAGUAGGUAAAGUGACAUAAAUGUUGCAGGAUCAAAUCCCGACCACCUCCUUCUUCUUCUUUUUUUCCCUUUUUUUUCCCCUUCUUCGUUUUUCUUUCUUCUUCAGCCAUGAAACCGAGAGAGGAGAUCGAGACAGAGAAGAUUAAUGGAAGAUGAUUGAAGAUAGAAAUUGAGAAGGAUUCGAAGUAGAAGAUGUGAAUGUUGCCAUCGUUUAACAGGAAGAAUGGAAAUGGUCGUUGCUGUUUCAAGUGAAGAGUUAGGGUUUUGUUUCUGAAGAAUUAGGGUUCGUAGGAGUUGAACUAAUAUGGUUGAAUCUGGAGGAGAUGGGUUGAGAAUCUAAGAAGAAAUUGGUGUUAAUGUUACCAUGGGUUGAGAACCAAUCGAGAAAUUAGAAGGUGGUAUAGAUUGAGUUGCUGAGAUGGGUGAUUAGGUUCAGAUGGAGGAAUUUUUGAAGAUUAAUGGAUAAUUUAGGGUGUGUAGAAGAUGAAUCUGGUGGUUGUUUGCCAUGAUUGAGUCAGAGAAGGAAAAGUCGAAUCUGAGAUGGAAAUGGAUUCAGGGUUUGAGUUUGAACCAUGGCUUGCUGAGCUCGAGCACCUGUGGUGGGGUUUUGAUUUGAAUCUGAGAUUUGAAAGUGCUCGAUGAAGUUGUGAAAGGGAAUGGAGAUGUUGAUGUUCAUGGGUAUACACAGGAUUGCUAGAAGCCGUGAUAUUAGAUGAAGAAAGUUUAAAAUAAGCAAUCAGUAACAGAGAUUGAUGAAUGGAGGUUCUUGAGAUGUGAAUUGAAGAAAAUGAAAUGCUGGGUGUUACCAAAAAUUCAGAUGGCUGUUGGUGAUUGUGAACUGCGGUGAACAAAUGUAAGUGCAGUGGUAACAGUAAUUAUUAGUUUCUCAGUACUAGAUUUUUUUCUAAUAUUGUUUCUUUAGAUUUAUUCCACAUCCAUACGAAUACUUUUUUUGUAUUAAACUUGAUUGAUUUUAUCUAUUACUUAUCAAUAAUGAGGUUACAUUUUUUAGUUUAGUUAGUUUUUUGGUAGAUUAGAGUUACAAGCAGGGAAUAUGAAGCUUCUCCUGUUAUUUUGUGGCUGAGCAAGUACUGCGAAGAGUGGCUUGCAGUUACUGAAUGACAUUAUUCUUUCAUUAUUAAGAUGCUCUAAUCCAUGUAUUAAUGCAUUUGCCACAUAGAGUAGUAAUAUUUCCUCUAUUAUGAUCCAUACUUCAAAACAAUUAUACACCUAAUCUCUUGAAAUUAUGUAGUCAAAGCAUGAAAAAGAUAGUGAUUAAGAUAACAAACUUGCUCUGUAUUUAUGAUUCCCUAUGGCUAUGCAUCUGUGGAGUCAAUAGAUAAAUAGGAAAUUGGACCUCCUAAUUAAGGAGGAGCCAGGCCUUUGUGAACAAGGAUUUGCAUGUACUUACAAGCAAGAUAUCUGGAAGCAAGGUACUUGCAAAUUCAUGUUUUUUCUUCCCUGAAAUUCACAACACCUUCCUAGCUCUCUAAUUUGGAUAAUAUAUCGUGAUUUUUCUUUUUGAAAUGCUUACGGGUAGUAGCAUCACAAGUGGGGAGUUGAUACCAAAAACGUGUACAAUUUUUUCUGUUGUAUCUUAUGAGUUUGGUGGUCAUAUGAGUGACAUCGAAGUGUCUGUAUUACUUGGUACUCCAAAAAUAUCUCUUUCUGCAAUGGAUAUGCAUGAGAUGGAAUAACUUGGGGCUGUGUUUUCUUCAAGGUAUUGUUUCAAUUUUUUAUUCGAUGUUUGUUGAUUUCGUGAUGGAUAUGAAAUUGGGGAUGUGUUUGCUUAGGUAUAGAAAGAUGGAUUGCAAUUUGAUUCAAAAAUGUUGUGUGUGUCAUACAUUGAAUUGACUCAAAAUCAAUGUCAAUUUUGCGUGUGUGUGUUUUUUCGAUCAAAUUUGGGGAUUUCUUAAUUUAUGAAUAUGGUGAUGGCUUGAGAUAAAGGAGAAGUGAGUGAGGUGAAUGAGGAAAAGUUGGUUAAAGCCGCCAAGAAAGGUGCUGCGAUUUUGGAUCAGCAUCUUUCUGACCAAUAUAAGACAAUCUACCAUGUAUUGGAGCAUGGAGGUGAAAUCUAUGAUGCAAUGUUGAACCAAACAAAAUCUCUCAGAUGAUAAUAAUAAGUUCUACGUGAUUCAAGCUCUUGAAUCAGACGGCUGGCGACGUCCAACGGGGAGGUGAUGCAGUUGCUGCUCCAGCCCUUGCUGCUGGUGGGGAUUGGACUGAUACAGUUGUUCCUGCGGCAGGAGUGGAUGUAUCUUUGGAGUCAGUGGCGGCAUCAUCCCUUCAGCUGCAAGUUGUGAGUGAGGGGUGCAGUAAUGUCUUAUAUUUUUUGCUGGUCUUUUCUCAUGUACUCACGGUGUUCUACCGAACCUUGCUUUCUAUGUUGAGCUAAUUUUGUUUUAAUAGUUGAAAAGAUAUUUUAGUUUUCUUAGCUCCAUACCUUGAACCUUUCUUAUUUUAAUAGCAAAUUCCUUUCGUUUGG